UUAUAAGCUACUGAGAUGUUUUCUUGCUUAA
This 31-nucleotide non-coding RNA is filed under the name Rattus norvegicus (Norway rat). Lineage: Eukaryota; Metazoa; Chordata; Mammalia; Rodentia; Muridae. The record is from RNAcentral.